GAACCUAAAAACUUCAAAUUGAGUUCGACUAAAUUAUCCAUGUCAACUUCUCAAGACAAAGAUAUUCACAACAGAUUGGAGCCAAUUUCACCAGAAAUUCAGUACACGCAUAAAACUAUGAAAUCUACGAACAUCAAAACUCAGAGGUUUCAAUAUGACAACUUAUCAAACCUUAUUUGUGUACUAUACACAAAUAAGCAUCUAACUCAUGCUCAAAAACCCCUACACAAUAAUCAUCUAAAAUUACGAAGCUAGUCAAAAUCAUCAAACUUUAAACAAGCAUCUGGAGAUCCCCACUCAC
Molecule: long non-coding RNA, 301 nt
Filed under: Salvia miltiorrhiza (redroot sage)
Lineage: Eukaryota; Viridiplantae; Streptophyta; Magnoliopsida; Lamiales; Lamiaceae
Description: long non-coding RNA (SMIL_LNC013823)
Source: RNAcentral